RNAcentral lists this ribosomal RNA (423 nucleotides) under uncultured bacterium. RNAcentral describes it as "bacterial SSU rRNA". It matches the Rfam family "Bacterial small subunit ribosomal RNA", at positions 207 to 622 of the family's 1533-position model. The record is from RNAcentral.
AAGACCUUGCGCUUUUGGAGCGGCCGAUGCCUGAUUAGCUUGUUGGUAAGGUAAAAGCUUACCAAGGCUUCGAUCAGUAGCUGGUCUGAGAGGACGGCCAGCCACACUGGGACUGAGACACGGCCCAGACUCCUACGGGAGGCAGCAGUGGGGAAUUUUGGACAAUGGGGGCAACCCUGAUCCAGCCAUGCCGCGUGAGUGAAGAAGGCCUUCGGGUUGUAAAGCUCUUUCAGCCGGAACGAAACGGUUACGGUUAAUACCCGUGAUUACUGACGGUACCGGAAGAAGAAGCACCGGCUAACUACGUGCCGGCAGCCGCGGUAAUACGUAGGGUGCGAGCGUUAAUCGGAAUUACUGGGCGUAAAGGGUGCGCAGGCGGUUUUGUAAGUCAGAUGUGAAAUCCCCGGGCUUAACCUGGGAACU